GAUGAAGAACGUAGCGAAAUGCGAUAAGUAAUGUGAAUUGCAGAAUUCAGUGAAUCAUCGAAUCUUUGAACGCACAUUGCGCCCGCCAGUAUUCUGGCGGGCAUGCCUGUCCGAGCGUCAUUUCAACCAUCAAGCCCCGGGCUUGUGUUGGGGACCUGCGUCCGACGCAGGCCCUGAAAACCAGUGGCGGGCUCGCUGUCCACACCGAGCGUAGUAACUAACCUCGCUUUGGAGUGGCGCGGGCGCCUGCCGUAAAACCCCCAAUUUCACAAGGUUGACCUCGGAUCAGGUAGGAAUACCCGCUGAACUUAAGCAUAUCAAUAAGCGGAGGA
Molecule: unclassified non-coding RNA, 332 nt
Filed under: soil metagenome
Description: partial contains 5.8S ribosomal RNA, internal transcribed spacer 2, and large subunit ribosomal RNA
Rfam family: 5.8S ribosomal RNA (bases 1-120)
Source: RNAcentral